CGAUACCAGAGGAGAAGACGAGCAGCUUUGUACCUUUGCGGUAAGAAGACUGUGGCCGUUUCUCAGUACGUAACUGUCCGUACCUGGUUCUCAUGUGCUCCUGAAGCUUCAUCAUCGAGACUGCAUCAAACCAGACUAUUCAAAGGUCUCUCUCUAUCUCCCCACACAUCCACCAACCACUGGAACACAUCUCCAAAGUUCUGCUAAAGCUCAGCUUCCCCUCAGAAGAUGAAGGAGCCUUUUGAGAGGCAGCUGGCAUCGUGAUUGGACGGUACUUUGGUCUGAUCCAAUCCAGCUUCAGCUCCAGAGACGGCAGGCAGAACGAGUCAACGGAGGCCGAGUGGACGAAGGCAUGAAGCUGAGAAUAAUCCAGAAAACAACAGAGGAGGAGAGCAGCGGCCCAGGGCCAGAACAAACAGAGAAGCAUAGUAUGUCUCUGAGAAAACAUCAUAGUGUAGCCUUUGGGAUGAAAAACACCAUCGUAUAUAUCGUAUAUUGUAGAAAUAACAAGUCAAAGGAAAGACAUACAUUGUAGAAUUGUAGUAAUUGUGGGCCAAAUGAUUUACUGAUUAUCAUUAUUUUAGUUUUUACUGAUUUACGGUAAUAAAUCAAUUUAAAAAUGGCA
Acanthochromis polyacanthus (spiny chromis) is the source of this 625-nucleotide long non-coding RNA. RefSeq lists it as uncharacterized. The record is from RefSeq and is a predicted model, not a curated record. NCBI's taxonomy places the organism in Eukaryota, Metazoa, Chordata, Actinopteri, Pomacentridae. The transcript is spliced from 2 exons.